GCAGACUGCUCUGGCUGAGGUCCGGGGGGAGCCCCGGAGGAUCCGCAAAGCCAUCAGCUGGGGCGUAGCUGGCUCUAGGUGCCUGGAGGACCCCACCCCGCCGGACGCAGAUCAGAGGACUGGCCCGUUUGACCUGUGGCCUUGUGAGCAGCAACAAAGAGUCAUUAAACCGCUGAGUUCGAGGUCUGUACACCGUGGUUGAGGCAACGGUCUCAUCUCAGGGCCAGUCCUUGACUUGAUGUUGAGUGUUCAGGAAGUGAUUUGUGUAUGUCCCUGGAGAAGUCAGAGGUGGAAAUGCUGCAGAGAACCGCAGAGUGGAGAAGCUCUGCGACCCAUUGAGCCACUGUCCCAGCCUGCUGUGGUGACGGGGGACCGACCCUGCAGUGGUCAUCCUUGGCCCCUCUCUUCAAUGGCCAUUCUCUCCGGUGGCUGUCUGUGG
Molecule: long non-coding RNA, 439 nt
Organism: Ictidomys tridecemlineatus (thirteen-lined ground squirrel)
Lineage: Eukaryota; Metazoa; Chordata; Mammalia; Rodentia; Sciuridae
Source: RefSeq, a predicted model, not a curated record